UACGUAGGUGGCAAGCGUUGUCCGGAUUUACUGGGCGUAAAGAGCGCGCAGGCGGUCGAUUUAGUCGCGUGUGAAAGCCCCCGGCUCAACUGGGGAGGGUCACGCGAUACUGAUCGACUCGAAGGCAGGAGAGGGUAGUGGAAUUCCCGGUGUAGUGGUGAAAUGCGUAGAUAUCGGGAGGAACACCAGUGGCGAAGGCGACUACCUGGCCUGUUCUUGACGCUGAGGCGCGAAAGCCAGGGGAGCAAACGGG
Molecule: ribosomal RNA, 253 nt
Filed under: uncultured bacterium
Lineage: Bacteria
Description: partial 16S ribosomal RNA
Rfam family: Bacterial small subunit ribosomal RNA
Source: RNAcentral